UUACAGCUAGAAAGCUUACAUACACACCUCUGUCAAUAUUAGUAUAUUCCAGCUGCAGCAUUGCUGGAAAGCAUAGUGUGCUACAGCUCAUGUAACACUUUAAGUAUAUAUGCAUGGAAACACUAUAUUGCAAAUAUGAAAACAUAUGAUCAGCUUAUCACACAUGAAUGUUUAAUACCUGUUUGGUGCCUUGAGGAUCACGUUGAUCUAUCUCUCUGGAGUCUUCAUCAGGUCAUUACAAAUGGUAUAGACUACGAGAUUACAGUAUAUGAAUUGGAAUUGAAAUUGAAAUUAACAUAUAUGAUCGGCCCCCGAACCCCGUUUCCCCUUCCCCUUUCCGAGCUCUAGCGUUCCACCCUUUGCAUGCCGGCUCUAUUGGCCUCAAACCCCUGAUUGGCCCCCGGAUUCUUAUUCCUCGAUCUUCUCCUGAACUACUGCCCAAUAGUUUUAUUCUUUUCCACUACUCACAACUGCUACAGUAACCGUAACCACUCUUUGUCACGAAUUCAGGCUCCGUUUGAAAUUGUCUUGGAUUCCUCAUGUCUCUGCUAUCAGCUGCUAUCAUUUCGGCAUUUGCAAUCAUUAAUUGGGACCAUUAUUAGGCCGUGGGUCUUUAAAGUUCAAAUUUUAGUUGUUUUGGCUUGUCUUUGGCUUUAUAUCUCGGCGAAAUCGGCGUCGCUGUUAAAGAUCGAUGUUUUUGCCAAGGGCUUUCCUUCUUCCUUUCACUUCAAUUGAAGAAUUUGGAGAGAGACGACGCCGCAGUUCAACGGCUCCAUUUUUACAAGCGCAGAGAGAUAUUUCCCUCAGAAGUAAGAAGCAUUUUCUGGUACGUACAUGGUUCCUUUGACCUUGUUUUAAUCAUUGUUCUCAAUUAUACCAAGACGGAAUCCAGGUACGUAUACUCUUUAUUGGAAUUCUUUUGUGUUUCAAAACAGAACAGAACAGAUCAAUGCUUUUCUAUGAUUACUUUAAUUAACUAUCGCACCCUUAAUCAAAGAAGUCUGGUCAAUUACUUCGUUCACUAUCGUAGAAUUUUGUUACUUCUUCUAGAACCUACUUGGUUUCCAGUUUGUGUCCCAAUUAUUGAUAUUGAUAUCCUCACAUUGCUUCUAUGUAUGAGACUGUUAAUGCUACCAUGAACCCCUUCUCAUUCUCUAAUGAGAUGAGAUGGGUUUUUUGUUGUGAUUGGUUUUGAAUUGAUAUGGGCUUUGAUGUUUUAGGGGUAUUAUAUUUGUGCUCGAGUUCGUUUUUGACUUCUCGCGUCUUCGUUUCUUUGCUGCGCAGAAACAGGGAAAGAGAUACGUUCAGUCUGCAACUCUGAUCGUGAUUCUUUGACAGCCCGUCAGCUUUGUCUCCGUCGAUACCGCCAAGGCCUUUUUCAGCUUUCUCUCAUCUGUGGUUGGCUCCCGCUUUUCUGACAAACCUUCACAAUAAUAUAACAGUGUCUGCAUCUCCUUGCGAUUUGAGUGUAACAACAGGAGUUAACAGUACUGCUUCGGUUUCUGAUAUUUGGAUUGUUGCCUUUUGCUUUCUUCUCAUUAGUUCUGCACCUACCUGGGAUUUGAGUGAAGAAACAGAGGACGGACUGUGUUGUAGCCACUGAGCUCGCGAAGCCCCUCACUGCUUACUGCAUGCAAUGACAGAAACGAGUUUGGAGCAGAAUCUCAGCCAAAAGAGGCUGAGGAAAGUGUGAGUUUAGGAUGAUCACAUCUCAUUUCUAUACUAUUGACCAUGGCAAGAGCUCCAUGUUGUGACAAAGCUAAUGUCAAAAGACAGUGGUCUCCUGAGGAAGAUAAAGCUAAAUCUUGAGACUCAUGGAACUGGUGGCAAUUGGAUUCAUCUGCCACAAAAAGCUGGCUUUUAGGUUCUUCAACAAGAAUCAAGUCGACCACAUUAAGGGUGAUCAGAACACGUGGUUUUCUAAUAAAGAAGCCAAGCUGCUGAAAUUGCAGAAAGUCACCUCUGAAUUUGGAACUUUGUUUCUUCCAUGACUUGGCAUCUGAGUAACCGACUGCAAUACUUCGAAGAUAAGUCAGUUUAUCAACACGCAGGCACUACUAGCUAACAAACAAAAUGAAACUUCAGCAUCCUUCAGAUUCAUAUAAAAGCUGUCUUGCUGCCUUGACAAUUAAAGGUUUGCUUUUAUUCAUCUCUAAAUUCCUUAUGUUUGCACUUCUUGACAAUUAAAGGUUAUGUAUUCUUUAUAUUGUUUCUGUACAAGUUAAGCAAUAUCAGCAUGUCAAAGAUACAAAACGAAUUGCUUCUAAAACGUCAUGGUUCUCUUACGAAUCUGGUCUGGGAAUGUCCUUCUGUGAUUUUGAUCAUUGAUUUAUUUGUAUUAUCCUCCCAACAUAGUGGCACUCAAAGUGAUAACUCGAUCAGAGCUAUGAGUAGAUGUAUAGCAGCCUGCUUCAGUACUCAUGUUGUAAAGGCUUUAGUCACACAAAGGUGCUGAACUCGGGAACUUUGAGAUCUUUUCUCACAUGUUGUUUGUUAUAGGAGAGAUCUUCUAUCAUCGUUGUGUCUGAAAUCUCUUUCUUUGAGAAAUGCAGCACUUUUGAAAAUUGUUUUUGUUAUUUCCUGCAAAGGAAGAGGCAGUGACAGAUAAUUAAUAUGAAUGCUGUAAAAUAUGAUGCAGUAAACAUGUAAAAUGUUUGUCAUUAAUGAAUCGAUAUCUGAUAGCUUUUA
Long non-coding RNA from Rosa rugosa (rugosa rose), 2688 nucleotides. RefSeq lists it as uncharacterized. Lineage: Eukaryota; Viridiplantae; Streptophyta; Magnoliopsida; Rosales; Rosaceae. The transcript is spliced from 14 exons. The record is from RefSeq and is a predicted model, not a curated record.